CCUACGGGAGGCAGCAGUAGGGAAUCUUCCACAAUGGACGAAAGUCUGAUGAAGCAACGCCGCGUGAGUGAAGAAGGGUUUCGGCUCGUAAAGCUCUGUUGGUAGUGAAGAAAGAUAGAGGUAGUAACUGGCCUUUAUUUGACGGUAAUUACUUAGAAAGUCACGGCUAACUACGUGCCAGCCGCCCCGGUAAUACGUAGGCGGCAAGCGUUGUCCGGAUUUAUUGGGCGUAAAGUGAGUGCAGGGGGUUCAAGAAGUUUGAUGUGAAAGCCUUCGGCUCAACCGGAGAAUUGCAUCAGAAACUGUUGAACUUGAGUGCAGAAGAGGAGAGUGGAACUCCAUGUGUAGCGGUGGAAUGCGUAGAUAUAUGGAAGAACACCAGUGGCGAAGGCGGCUCUCUGGUCUGCAACUGACGCUGAGGCUCGAAAGCAUGAGUAGCGAACAGGAUUAGAUACCCGGGUAGUC
RNAcentral lists this ribosomal RNA (465 nucleotides) under uncultured bacterium. Its description in RNAcentral is "partial 16S ribosomal RNA". It matches the Rfam family "Bacterial small subunit ribosomal RNA", at positions 338 to 795 of the family's 1533-position model. The record is from RNAcentral.